Molecule: non-coding RNA, 30 nt
Filed under: Mus musculus (house mouse)
Lineage: Eukaryota; Metazoa; Chordata; Mammalia; Rodentia; Muridae
Also listed under: 1 other name
Source: RNAcentral
UGUAUAGCUAUUUGCUAUGGAAAGAUAGGA